RNAcentral lists this small RNA (386 nucleotides) under Caenorhabditis elegans. RNAcentral's name for it is "Unclassified non-coding RNA C55B7.15". The record is from RNAcentral. Lineage: Eukaryota; Metazoa; Nematoda; Chromadorea; Rhabditida; Rhabditidae.
GUGUGUUACAAUUGCCAGCAGCCUGGUCACAACUCUCGCGAUUGUCCAGAAGAGCGGAAACCGCGUGAAGGCCGAAAUGGAUUCACCGGUGGAAGCUCUGGUUUCGGAGGAGGAAAUGGUGGUGGAACUGGAUUCGACAGUGGAUUAACUAACGGAUUUGGUAGUGGUAACAAUGGUGAAUCUGGCUUCGGUUCGGGAGGUUUUGGUGGUAACUCGAAUGGAUUCGGAAGCGGCGGUGGGGGACAAGAUCGAGGCGAAAGGAAUAAUAGUAUGUUUGCUGCUUGAAAUCUAUCUCUUCACGUUGCUUAUAGAUUGUUUCAAUUGUCAGCAGCCAGGACAUCGAUCGAAUGACUGUCCAGAGCCGAAAAAGGAAAGGGAACCCAGAG